UACGUAGGUGACAAGCGUUGUCCGGAUUUACUGGGCGUAAAGAGCGCGCAGGCGGUCGUUCAAGUCGAGUGUGAAAGCCCCCCGGCUCAACUGGGGAGGGUCACUCGAUACUGAUCGACUCGAAGGCAGGAGAGGGAAGUGGAAUUCCCGGUGUAGUGGUGAAAUGCGUAGAUAUCGGGAGGAACACCAGUGGCGAAGGCGGCGCUCUGGGCUGGAACUGACGCUGAGGAGCGAAAGCGUGGGGAGCGAACAGG
RNAcentral lists this ribosomal RNA (254 nucleotides) under uncultured bacterium. RNAcentral's name for it is "partial 16S ribosomal RNA". It matches the Rfam family "Bacterial small subunit ribosomal RNA", at positions 524 to 776 of the family's 1533-position model. The record is from RNAcentral.